UCCCGGUUGGCCCGGGCAGUCUCGCAUGAAAAAUUUAACAUACGAUAAGGGUUGCGCUCGUUGCGGGACUUAACCCAACAUCUCACGACACGAGCUGACGACGGCCAUGCAGCACCUGUCACUAGGCUCCCGAAGGCACUCCCCUGUUUCCAGGAGAUUCCUAGGAUGUCAAGCCUUGGUAAGGUUCUUCGCGUAGCUUCGAAUUAAACCACAUAAUCCACCGCUUGUGCGGGUCCCCGUCAAUUCCUUUGAGUUUUAAGCUUGCGCUCGUACUCCCCAGGCGGCAUACUUAUCGCGUUAGCUUCUCAGCACAGGGGGUCGAUACCCCAUACUAAUAGUAUGCAUCGUUUACGGCGUGGACUAC
This 364-nucleotide unclassified non-coding RNA is filed under the name uncultured bacterium. RNAcentral's name for it is "contains 16S-23S intergenic spacer region". The record is from RNAcentral.